Molecule: long non-coding RNA, 388 nt
Organism: Pelobates fuscus (common spadefoot toad)
Lineage: Eukaryota; Metazoa; Chordata; Amphibia; Anura; Pelobatidae
Exons: 2
Source: RefSeq, a predicted model, not a curated record
UAGUUGCUGGGGUUAUAUAAUCAGCCUGCAGGGGCUGACUAGCCAGAUGCGUUAAUAACAUCUUCAGAAGAGGUCAACAUCAGGAGGAUGGCUACCCAAAGAAGGCGCCGACGCAGAAGAAUCGCUAGGUAUCGGAAGAAAGUACCAGGAAAAGGGAAACGUGUCCGCCAUUACUACUAUUACAGAGUACUUGGUUAGCUCGCUCCUGCCACGCUACAACUCAUCAAGCAGAAGCUAAAAUAAGAAAUUAACAGAACAGUCUUGGAUUAAGUACAAAAAAUGACAUGCUAACAAGAAUGCUUCGAUGUAUGAAAUCACUGUUGGAAUAGCAUGGUAAACACUCUGUAGGAACUGUGUAGAGUGCAAUUAAAUAAACUUGGAAAAUUCA